This 914-nucleotide ribosomal RNA is filed under the name uncultured marine archaeon. RNAcentral's name for it is "bacterial SSU rRNA". It matches the Rfam family "Archaeal small subunit ribosomal RNA", at positions 1 to 922 of the family's 1478-position model. The record is from RNAcentral.
UUCCGGUUGAUCCUGCCGGACCUGACUGCUAUCGGAUUGAUACUAAGCCAUGCUAGUCUUUGUAGUAAUACAAGGCAUACGGCUCAGUAACGCGUAGUCAACCUACCCUAUGGACGGGGAUAAUCUCGGGAAACUGAGCAUAAUACCCGGCAGACCACUUAUCCUGGAAUGGUUAGUGGUUAAAAUGAUUCGUCGCCAUAGGAUGGGACUGCGGCCUAUCAGCUUGUUGGUGAGGUAAUGGCCCACCAAGGCGAUUACAGGUACGGGCUCUGAGAGGAGAGGCCCGGAGAUGGGUACUGAGACAAGGACCCAGGCCCUAUGGGGCGCAGCAGGCGAGAAAACUUUGCAAUGUGCGAAAGCACGACAAGGUUAAUCCGAGUGAUUUCUGCUAAAGGAAUCUUUUGUUAGUCCUAGAAACACUAACGAAUAAGGGGUGGGCAAGUUCUGGUGUCAGCCGCCGCGGUAAAACCAGCACCUCAAGUGGUCAGGAUGAUUAUUGGGCCUAAAGCAUCCGUAGCCGGCUCUGUAAGUUUUCGGUUAAAUCUGUACGCUCAACGUACAGGCUGCCGGGAAUACUGCAGAACUAGGGAGUGGGAGAGGUAGACGGUACUCGGUAGGAAGUGGUAAAAUGCUUUGAUCUAUCGAUGACCACCUGUGGCGAAGGCGGUCUACCAGAACACGUCCGACGGUGAGGGAUGAAAGCUGGGGGAGCAAACCGGAUUAGAUACCCGGGUAGUCCCAGCUGUAAACUAUGCAAACUCAGUGAUGCAUUGGCUUGUGGCCAAUGCAGUGCUGCAGGGAAGCCGUUAAGUUUGCCGCCUGGGAAGUACGUACGCAAGUAUGAAACUUAAAGGAAUUGGCGGGGGAGCACCACAAGGGGUGAAGCCUGCGGUUCAAUUGGAUUCAACGCCGGG